AAUCACUACGGAUUGGUGAUCUUCAGGAAGAAGAUACGGUUAUUCAGGAUGAAUGAUCGGCAUGGAUAGCAAACAGGACAUUGAACGGACUCAAUCGUGACUAGGAUGGUGACGACAAGGGAAUGGCAAUGGACUCCUCUGGACGAGGCAAGGACUCAGCAUCAGGAUGAUGCCAAGGACACCGCUCAAGGACCAAGUGAUGAGAGCUAACCAGGAUAGUUAGCAGAUCAGGACGAUCAAGGACACCGCUAGGAUGGCGAUGAACGGAUUACGCUGACGGAUACAGCAUACUUAUCAAGGAAUAGAUGCAGGGAGCACCUAUUAGUAGCCGGAUUGCUGCGAGUAAGACUAUAACCCCGAAGGGCUUUGGCCCCUCGGGGUUUUUCUUUU
This 390-nucleotide non-coding RNA is filed under the name Vibrio furnissii. The record is from RNAcentral. Lineage: Bacteria; Pseudomonadati; Pseudomonadota; Gammaproteobacteria; Vibrionales; Vibrionaceae.